Molecule: ribosomal RNA, 242 nt
Filed under: uncultured bacterium
Lineage: Bacteria
Description: partial 16S ribosomal RNA
Rfam family: Bacterial small subunit ribosomal RNA
Source: RNAcentral
UAAUACGUAGGGGGCAAGCGUUGUCCGGAUUUAUUGGGCGUAAAGAGCGUGUAGGCGGCCAGGUAGGUCAGCUGUGAAAACUCGAGGCUCAACCUCGAGAUGUCGGCUGAAACCAUUUGGCUAGAGUCCGGAAGAGGAGAAUGGAAUUCCCGGUGUAGCGGUGAAAUGCGCAGAUAUCGGGAAGAACACCCGUGGCGAAGGCGGUUCUCUGGGACGGUACUGACGCUGAGACGCGAAAGCGU